AAAAAAAAAAAAAGUCUGGUACAGGCAGGAGGAGAGGAAGGGGGGCAGGGUUCUUAUAUUCUGGGUGGGAUUGAUCUUGUGACUUCAUCCUCUUCUUCUAGAAUGCGUUUAGGGCACAAUUCUUGCUUUUUAUAACUCUCACCAUUCCAUUUUUUUUCACUAAGUGGUUAUUAUAUAUUUGCCAAGUGCCUGACUCCCCGCUUGCCGUGGGGAUUCAGCAUCCAACAUGCAGCAAGGUUCUUGAAGGACAAUUCCCUUACCAUACAGGUUUCCAACAAGUUGCCGCUGGAUGAAGAACCUACACAUAGCUAUAAAGGAGCAAUGGUUCUCAAGUGGGGAGAGUGGGUAAAGAAGACGCUCUCCAGACCACCCAUCUAGGGUACUUUAGCAAACUACAGUUGACUCAGAGUUUGAGAAAAUCGCCCCAGAAACAUCUGAAGAACCCAUUAUAGAAAUUGUGACCAAGAGGAAAAAUGAUUUAAAAAAGUGAUAAAAAAUGCUUAAAAAGUUUUUGUU
Molecule: long non-coding RNA, 516 nt
Organism: Peromyscus eremicus (cactus mouse)
Lineage: Eukaryota; Metazoa; Chordata; Mammalia; Rodentia; Cricetidae
Exons: 2
Source: RefSeq, a predicted model, not a curated record